GAAGGAGGGAAGGCCCGCACCCCUCACCCGACCCAGGCUGACCCUCUUCACCCACCUGCCCCACGGAGGGCCCCUAACCUCCGCUCACCUCUGCCUCUGCCCCUCCCACUUCCCCCAGUUUCACAUCCUUCAACUCCAUUUUUGCUCCCUCCCCUCUGCUUUUUCCUCAGGCCCUUGGCCCGAGCUUCUCUCCCCUCCUCGCAGCCUGGGCCCCCAGACCUGCUGUGCUUUCCCUUCCAGGCCUCUGUCGCCUUACUGCCCCCCUCCCUGCGACGGGGUCUCCUUUGUUCCAUCUCGGCUGGCACCUUAGGGCUUCCUCUAAGUCUAGCUGUGUGGCUCCCUCCUUCCUCUUGCUCAGGGACCCAUGUGGCCUUCCUGCCAUGUUGCCCAGCUGCGUGGGAUUAGUGUUGGGGAGAACAAGAACUGACAUUCACUCUGCCCCCACCCCCCGUGGCCAGUUGACCCAGCUGGUACGCAGAUGUCCUUUCUCAGCGUUACCUUUGAAGGAGAGUUUUUAUGUCUGGGUUCCAGGCCUCUCAGACCUGCUGCCUCCAGCUCCUUGGCUUCUGGGCCACAUCCUCCUCUCUUCCCCUGGCCCAGGCACCCUCUCAGACCCCUGUUUGAACCUGGGGAGCCCAGCAGCCUGACUGAAGGCAGCCCCUUGGUGUGCGCCUUCCCCUGGCUCCAUGUCCCAGUUCACAGGUCUGACCACUGUAACCGUAUUGCACUGAUUCUAAGCCUCAUCAGAGGUUAGACACACCAUUAUUUUACUAACAGCCUGGGGGAUAGAAGGAUAAGAAGACCCCUAAAUAUAGUAUGGAGUACUCUACUACACAAAUGUUAAAAUUUUUGAAAACUUAAGACUUCGAGCUGAAGAAAUAGGGUAAUAAUAAGAAUCAGUGUUUACAGAGUGCUUGCUAUAUAUGCUAGACACCUUCCUGAGUAAGUGCUUGACAUCCAUUGUUGUAGGGUUUCCUUUCCACGAUUUAAAGAUCUCUGUGAAUCUGCCUGGCCCAGGUGGUGUGUAUUUAGGGGCCAGGAGUGGGCUGGUGAGAGUGAUUUGCUGCCUCUGAAUGGGACCACCCCCUAACUGUGGUGCUAGGGCCUAGCAGGGCUCCUUAUCUGAAGUGGUCACGGAAAGUGGACUGCGCGCCUCUUAGGAAAUGGGCCUCUUUCUUGGAAAGAGGAGAAUUGGAACGUCUGGUCCCUUGCUAUGCUGUUGGUAUUUUUUUCAGUAAACUCAACUGUAUGUGGUUGUAGAGCUCAUUUGUUGGUGUCUGUUUUCAAACUCAGGCUACCUCUUCCCUUGAGUAGCUUUUUCGCUGGUUACCGAAGUAGCCAUGUGGUCCUGGAGCGUUAUUGCUAAGUGAAACCAAUAAACCAUUUUACCUCCAAUUUAUGUGUAAACACUCAUUUAUGUGUUUACACUCAUGCGUGUAAACACUCACGCAUGCCUCUCCAGUCCCACCACCUGAGUGUGCCAUUUCUCAGCAGCUCUUCAUGCUGCUUCAGUGGUGUCAGCACACCCGAUCAGGGCGGGCAGGGGGAGAAUGUUGAACGUGGACUUGGAACACCUGAGGGGACAUCAGGUGUUUAGGAGACAUCAUGGGCCUGAGCAUGGUAUAAACCCUGAGAUGGGUUUCUGCUUUGAGUCCGUGAGAGGUCUUUAAUGGCCGUCGAUGGACUCAACUGAGAAGAUUAUUGUAUCUUCCGAGUGCUUAGCUUCCAGCUGACUCAUGUGUUUGCUUGGCCUCUUGCAACCCAGAGUUUUCCAAUGAGUUGCACAGCCCGAUACUGACCUGGCCUACUUCUGGAUGAGGGUUGCCACUUCCAAAGGUGUCUUUUCCCCAGUGCGUGGAGUGACAGUCCCCCUCCCCCUGAAAAAAAGGCAAAAGGAAAAUGGGAGCAUGAAAGUCUGUGGGGAUGAACCAGUCAGAGGGAGGGGAGAGGUUUAGGUGGAAAGCGGGGGUCUCCCAAGAGUGACGGGGGAGUUAGCCCUCUAAGCAAGCUUGUGUCAGGGAGGGCGCUGGCCGGCCCUGCAAUGGUGAAGAAGGCUCUGAUCCCAUUCAAGGGCCAUUUUCCCGGUGAGGCCCUGCUGGGAAGCCAGGUUGCUCACCUGUCACUUUUGUUCUGAGGUUCCUUGAGAAGGUUUGGUUGUGGGCCAGCAAAGGGCUGCGCUCACACCACUCUGGGCCAUGGGAGUGUGGCCCCUGCCCUUGGCUGAUGGUAUGAGGAUCUUGGGUAGGAGACUAUGGAAGGAUCUGGCAGUGGGGGGAAGAAUUCUGCAACCCUGCCCAGCUGGCCUCAGGCAUUUAAUCGGACAAGCUAGGGCUCAUUUCUUCAGGGACUUGCGGGGUAGGUUCUCUGGGGCAGUGGUUGCCAUCGGAGCAGAACACUUGUUUCUAAGGACCUGGCUCACCUCUUUCUCAUCCAGAGCAUUUCUUACUUGCCUCACUGUGUUUGGGAAAUUGCAUUCCUCGUAGACCUUGAUUACUCUUCACUGGCUAAUCAAUCAGCAAAUAUUUAUCGAGUGACCUCUGUGGGCACAGCGUAGUUUGCAUUGUAGCUGGGGAAUGAGCUAACAGGGCAGGAAGACUGGCACCAGGAAGAAGCUGUGUUUGCAAAGGGCCAAAGGAGCGGCUCGGUUAUUUCUCGUGGCAGGAAUUCAGGGAAGGGGAAAGUCGCAGGCAGAUCUCUGGUCACCGAAAGCCUCCUGUCAAGCACUUUUGUACUCUCCCAGUGCCUGGCACUUUGCGAAGGGCCUUUCCAGCUCCCCCUCAGAUGGUCAGGGGUUGGAGUCUCCUGAGGAGUGUGCAGCCCAGGUCCCUCGCACGUGCAGUUCACUGUAGGGUUCGAGUACCCGGGAGAAUCCAAUGCCACUGCUGAGCUCUGAGGUGGAGCUCCGGAGAGUCAGAGCCGAGUCUGUGGUAGUGACCAUGAGAAUGGGUUCUCUCUUUCCUGGGAGGUUGUGACAGAGCAGACAGCAAAAGUAUAAAGGAAGCAUCCUGACCCCGGCAAGGUGAACGAGGGAGCCCCAGGGCAGCUCGGAGGCCUCUCAGUCCUGUCCUUGUUUGUGAAGCAGGGAAACGACGGCCACCUCCAGUGGGGGGGGAAUGACGCGGGGUCACCUGUUGUGUCCUCUGGUGCUCUCUGAAGGCCAGCUUUCUCUUCUCUCUCUCCCCCUGUGUCUUCAGAGUCUGUGUGCCCCAGUGGGCAGCGGGCACUGGCUGCUUUGGCCCAAGGGGUGGUGACUUCCGUUCUUGGAGAGGAGCAGAGCAUUAAGGCCCACGGUCCUCGGCCACCCUCCCCCGGCCCUCGCCGGUGGAAGGAUGCGAAAUCGCCUCUCCUCGGCCCUUCGGUCUAAUUCACUUACUGGCUUUUUUGAGCACCCCUGGGCCUCUGCUAUGGGUCUCCCCAAAUAAGGUGACCAGAGCUUUAGAUGCAGAACAGAAGGAACUGACUCGGGCAGGGGAAACUACGGGAUAAAGGCCCAGGCCCUCUUUCCUGUGAUCCAGGGCAAAGCCUUGUACCUGGGCAGCUCUGCUCUCCUGCACUUACAGGUGACUGGUGUUAACCUCACCCCCGAUCUGGACCCUCAGGAUAUUACUCUGAGGGUCCAGCCAGAGCCACUGAGAGCCCUUCUGGGCCUGGACGACUGUGUCACCAGUCAGCAGUCACCGUGCACCUAGCAUGUGCUGUGUGAUGGGGAAGCUGGGCAGUGGGGAUGCAACAAUGAAAAGUCAUUUAGAGAUGGACGGGCUGGUGACCGUGUGGUAGGAACACAGGCAGGGCCCUGGGCCUUGGACUGGGAGGCAGCUCCUCCUGGCGGGAAUCGUGUUCAAACUGAGUUGUUCCUGACAAACAGGAG
Artibeus jamaicensis (Jamaican fruit-eating bat) is the source of this 3868-nucleotide long non-coding RNA. RefSeq lists it as uncharacterized. The record is from RefSeq and is a predicted model, not a curated record. The transcript has 3 exons. Lineage: Eukaryota; Metazoa; Chordata; Mammalia; Chiroptera; Phyllostomidae.